Molecule: ribosomal RNA, 354 nt
Filed under: Myurella affinis
Lineage: Eukaryota; Metazoa; Mollusca; Gastropoda; Neogastropoda; Terebridae
Description: partial 12S ribosomal RNA
Source: RNAcentral
CCGGAGUACUAUGAAUAUUUAAACAUUUAAAACUUAAAGAACUUGGCGGUGUUUUAGACCACUUAGGGGAACCUGUCUCGUAAUCGACAAUCCGCGUUAAACCUGACCUUUUCUUGUUAUCAGUUUGUAUACCGUUGUCGUCAGGUAACUUUUUAGAAAUUAGAAGUUAGCGAUAAAAACAAUGUAAUGACUUAGGACGUCAAAUCAAGGUGCAGCUAACGAAAAGGGGAGGAUGGGUUACAAUUAUUUGAUUUAUAACAACGGACGAACAGCAUGAAUAUGUUUCAAAUUACAAGGUGGACUUGAAAGUAAAUUAGAUUAUAUAGAUAGUUUGAAUAAGGCUCUGAAACGUGU